GCUCAGGAUGAACGCUAGCGGCAGGCUUAACACAUGCAAGUCGAGGGGUAACAUUGUGCUUGCACAGAUGACGACCGGCGCACGGGUGCGUAACGCGUAUAGAACCUACCUUUUACUGGAGAAUAGCCUUUAGAAAUGAAGAUUAAUGCUCCAUGGUAUUGAGUUUUGGCAUCAAGACUUAAUUAAAGAUUUAUUGGUAAAAGAUGGCUAUGCGUCCUAUUAGUUAGAUGGUAAGGUAACGGCUUACCAUGACUUUGAUAGGUAGGGGUCCUGAGAGGGAGAUCCCCCACACUGGUACUGAGACACGGACCAGACUCCUACGGGAGGCAGCAGUGAGGAAUAUUGGGCAAUGGAGGCAACUCUGACCCAGCCAUGCCGCGUGAAGGAUGACUGCCCUAUGGGUUGUAAACUUCUUUUAUACAGGAAGAAACACUGGUAUGUAUACCAGCUUGACGGUACUGUAAGAAUAAGGACCGGCUAACUCCGUGCCAGCAGCCGCGGUAAUACGGAGGGUCCGAGCGUUAUCCGGAAUCAUUGGGUUUAAAGGGUCCGCAGGCGGUCGAUUAAGUCAGAGGUGAAAUCCCAUAGCUCAACUAUGGAACUGCCUUUGAUACUGGUUGACUUGAGUCAUAUGGAAGUAGAUAGAAUGUGUAGUGUAGCGGUGAAAUGCAUAGAUAUUACACAGAAUACCGAUUGCGAAGGCAGUCUACUACGUAUGUACUGACGCUGAGGGACGAAAGCGUGGGGAGCGAACAGGAUUAGAUACCCUGGUAGUCCACGCCGUAAACGAUGGAUACUAGUUGUUGGGCAUUAGCUCAGUGACUAAGCGAAAGUGAUAA
RNAcentral lists this ribosomal RNA (839 nucleotides) under uncultured Polaribacter sp. Its description in RNAcentral is "bacterial SSU rRNA". It matches the Rfam family "Bacterial small subunit ribosomal RNA", at positions 22 to 863 of the family's 1533-position model. Lineage: Bacteria; Pseudomonadati; Bacteroidota; Flavobacteriia; Flavobacteriales; Flavobacteriaceae. The record is from RNAcentral.